UACAGAGGGGGCAAGCGUUAUUCGGAAUUAUUGGGCGUAAAGGGCGCGUAGGCGGCUUUUCAAGUGACGGGUGAAAUCCCUCGGCUUAACCGAGGAACUGCCUGUCAGACUGGAAGGCUUGAGACCGGGAGAGGUGAGUGGAAUUCCCAGUGUAGCGGUGAAAUGCGUAGAUAUUGGGAGGAACACCGGUGGCGAAGGCGGCCCCCUGGACCGGUACUGACGCUGAGGCACGAAAGCGUGGGGAGCAAACGGG
Molecule: ribosomal RNA, 253 nt
Filed under: uncultured bacterium
Lineage: Bacteria
Description: partial 16S ribosomal RNA
Rfam family: Bacterial small subunit ribosomal RNA
Source: RNAcentral